GGACAAAUGCUAAAAAUAAGAAGAAGGUUAAUUAAAAGUAGGGAAUUCUUGAGUAGCUUAGCAAAUGUUAGCUUCUCAAUAAUGACUUUCUUCCAUGGUGUCAGUUAAUUGUGAAUAUAUUUACACAAGAUAAUGAAUUGUUUGUGAUUUAAGCAUUAAUAAGUUGUGAGAACUAAAGAUAACAUUUUAUAUAUGCUAUAAAUAGCUCAUAUGUAAAAGUACAAACAAAAGUAAAGUGACCGACACAAACAGCAGUGGCUAAGUUUUGGAUGCUUCUGCACGUCUAUUGUCACACAACCUUAUGGGCCAAUCAGCUUAAGAGAGUUGGUAUAUAAAGUAUUAAGUUACUUCAAGCAUAAAGCAGACACCAUAUAUGUACACACAUUUCAUCCAUAAUCUUCUCUAGUCCAAAUGAAUAUUAUAUGCAAUAGUUGGUGAACCUUAUGCAGCAUAGCUUUGUAAAUUUUAUAUCCGUCUAUCCAGUACUCUACCAUGUACACUAAAUUACUGUUGUGAUGAUCUUAAUACUGAAGUUCCCAGGGUGCCUUGUAAAGUCCAUGGGUGCACACCAGAUCAACCGGUAAUGAUCUCAUGCACGGGGCAAUAAACUGCAAGUGGUGAAACUUCAGCUCCAUCAUGCAUCAAGCAGUGUGUCUCGGUACUCCUCACAGACAACAAAACCAUCAAAAACUGGAUGACUUCCACCACAGUGGAAAUCAAAUCCAAUCACUGCUGGCGCGCAGUCAAUUCCUAAUUUCCGAGCUACACGGUUCAAACCAGGAACUAUAACAAAGUAAGAACAUAUAUAAAUAUGUGACCUGUCCAUUACGUUAAGGGCUAUAUAAAGUGUAUUUAUUUCAUUUAAUGAUGCUAUCAUUCACAAUGUCAAAAAAUGGGAUUAAUAAAUACUAAAAAGUUUCAGAACUAC
This is a non-coding RNA of Zootermopsis nevadensis, 928 nucleotides long. The record is from RefSeq and is a predicted model, not a curated record. Lineage: Eukaryota; Metazoa; Arthropoda; Insecta; Blattodea; Termopsidae.